Molecule: ribosomal RNA, 277 nt
Filed under: uncultured Bacillota bacterium
Lineage: Bacteria; Bacillati; Bacillota
Description: uncultured Firmicutes bacterium partial 16S ribosomal RNA
Rfam family: Bacterial small subunit ribosomal RNA
Source: RNAcentral
CGCAAUGGACGAAAGUCUGACGGACAACGCCGCGUGAGCGAUGAAGGCUUUCGGGUCGUAAAGUUCUGUUGUCAGGGAAGAACAAGUACAGGAGUAACUGCCGGUCCUUGACGGUACCUGACCAGAAAGCCACGGCUAACUACGUGCCACAGCCGCGGUAAUACGUAGUGGCAAGCGUUGUCCGGAAUUAUUGGGCGUAAAGCGCGCGCAGGCGGUUCCUUAAUCUGAUGUGAAAGCCCCCGGCUCAACCGGGGAGGGUCAUUGGAAACUGGGGAAC